Non-coding RNA from Peromyscus maniculatus bairdii (prairie deer mouse), 911 nucleotides. The record is from RefSeq and is a predicted model, not a curated record. Lineage: Eukaryota; Metazoa; Chordata; Mammalia; Rodentia; Cricetidae.
UCUGCUUUUGUAUUGUGUGUCCUGAUCCAUCAAGAUGCGAACGAGUCCCGCUGCAAGCUCCUGCCACCGGCAGAGUUUCCACACGUUUGCUCCCCCACACCGCAGUGGAUGGUACCCUCUGAACUGUGGGCUAAAGUGCACUCUCCUCCCUCUCCCGCCCUGAAGUUGGUUCCGCCAAGUGUUUUGUCGAAGCAAUGAGAAAAGUAGCUAAGACAUUAAUUUCGAGUCUACUCAAGGUAAUCUUUAUUCCAGAAUUUUUUUUUAACCUAAUGUGUCUAUAGUUUGGAAAGUAGACAAGACUGAUCGAUACAUUUUUUUAUGGUGUUUGAAAAUGAUUUGGACCUAACUCCAGAGAGUGAAGGAAGUCAGCACAAUCAGGAUGCACAGCGAAGGAGGCCGGCAGCCUUCUCCAACAGCAGCCAGCGGCUGCAGCAGAUGUGCUGCUGGAGAUAGUGCAUCCGCAGGGCUGCAGUCACGUGAGAACUGCGAAGAGUUCAACUGACCUGAAGCUCAACCUUACAGUCGCACAGUUGGGGACUUUUCCCCCAGCUAGGGACCGGGGUCAAGGUGCAAUGGGCCGCACCAGAGUUGGUUGUAUCUUCAGUCUGAGUGGAGUCCAAGGAAACCAGAUGAUCCGUCAUGGUGUUGAACAAUGUGGCAUACAUGUCAGCAUGGGUACCCCUUCCCCCAAUGACUUCAACGUAGCACUGUUUCAGUGACGCUCUUUAAGUAAGAGCCGUGGAAACUGGGGAAAGUCAAAACAGGACUUCUCUGGAAAGAAUGGUCAGGAUUUCUUAGAUCAUCCUGAAAAUAGAACUCAACCUGAAAAAAGAACAAAAGUAGACUAUCGUUAUCCCAAUGGAUGCAAAAAAAAUGCACUUACUGCUAAAUAAAUAGAAAUUUCCACUAUA